RNAcentral lists this ribosomal RNA (44 nucleotides) under Cordyceps javanica. RNAcentral's name for it is "partial 28S ribosomal RNA". Lineage: Eukaryota; Fungi; Ascomycota; Sordariomycetes; Hypocreales; Cordycipitaceae. RNAcentral also lists the same sequence under 1 other name. The record is from RNAcentral.
GACCUCGGAUCAGGUAGGACUACCCGCUGAACUUAAGCAUAUCA